CGAAAGCCUGACGGAGCAAUACCGCGUGAGGGAGGAAGGCUCUUGGGUUGUAAACCUCUUUUCUCAGGGAAGAACAAAAUGACGGUACCUGAGGAAUCAGCAUCGGCUAACUCCGUGCCAGCAGCCGCGGUAAUACGGAGGAUGCAAGCGUUAUCCGGAAUGAUUGGGCGUAAAGCGUCCGCAGGUGGCAUUGAAAGUCUGCUGUCAAAGAGUCUGGCUCAACCAGAUAAAGGCAGUGGAAACUACAAAGCUAGAGUGCGUUCGGGGCAGAGGGAAUUCCUGGUGUAGCGGUGAAAUGCGUAGAGAUCAGGAAGAACACCGGUGGCGAAAGCGCUCUGCUAGGCCGUAACUGACACUGAGGGACGAAAGCUAGGGGAGCGAAUGGGAUUAGAUACCCCAGUAGUCCUAGCCGUAAACGAUGGAUACUAGGUGUUGCUUGUAUCGACCCGAGCAGUACCGUAGCUAACGCGUUAAGUAUCCCGCCUGGGGAGUAGGCAGGCAACUGUGAAACUCAAAGGAAUUGACGGGGGCCCGCACAAGCGGUGGAGUAUGUGGUUUAAUUCGAUGCAACGCGAAGAACCUUACCAGGGCUUGACAUGUCGCGAAUCCUUGUGAAAGCAGGGAGUGCCUUCGGGAGCGCGAACACAGGUGGUGCAUGGCUGUCGUCAGCUCGUGUCGUGAGAUGUUGGGUUAAGUCCCGCAACGAGCGCAACCCUCGUUUUUAGUUGCCAUCAUUAAGUUGGGCACUCUAGAGAGACUGCCGGUGACAAACCGGAGGAAGGUGGGGAUGACGUCAAGUCAGCAUGCCCCUUACGUCCUGGGCUACACACGUACUACAAUGCUACGAACAGAGGGCAGCUAACCAGCGAUGGCAAGCUAAUCCCGGAAAUCGUAGCUCAGUUCAGAUCGCAGGCUGCAACUCGCCUGCGUGAAGUUGGAAUCGCUAGUAAUUGCAGGUCAGCAUACUGCAGUGAAUUCGUUCCCGGGCCUUGUACACACCGCCCGUCACACCAUGGAAGCUGGUAGUGCCCGAAGUCAUUACCCCAACCUUUCGGGGAGGGGGAUGCCUAAGGCAGGACUGGUGACUGGGGUGAA
This 1095-nucleotide ribosomal RNA is filed under the name Stigonema mamillosum N01. Its description in RNAcentral is "bacterial SSU rRNA". It matches the Rfam family "Bacterial small subunit ribosomal RNA", at positions 376 to 1484 of the family's 1533-position model. The record is from RNAcentral. Lineage: Bacteria; Bacillati; Cyanobacteriota; Cyanophyceae; Nostocales; Stigonemataceae.